Molecule: unclassified non-coding RNA, 218 nt
Filed under: uncultured Thelephoraceae
Lineage: Eukaryota; Fungi; Basidiomycota; Agaricomycetes; Thelephorales; Thelephoraceae
Description: sequence contains ITS2
Source: RNAcentral
ACACCUCAACUCUCAUGGCUCGCCAUGAUGAGCUUGGACUUUGGGGGUCUUGCUGGCCUGCGGUCGGCUCCUCUCAAAUGGAUCAGCUUGCCAGUGUUUGGUGGCAUCACAGGUGUGAUAACUAUCUACGCUUGUGGUUUUCCACCAGGUAACCUUCAGCGAUGGAGGUUCGCUGGAGCUCAUAAAUGUCUCUCCCCAGUGAAGACAGCUUUGUGAAU